CACAAAAUUAUCCCUUAAGCCCUUACAAAGGAACCGCUUCUUCUUCUCUUCAUCUGUCUCACUCUCACUUUUAAUUUUUUGCCCUAAAACCCUCACUGCCAUCGUGGUGGCCACCCAAGAAAAGAGAAUAGAGAGCGCAACCAAGUCUUCAUCUUCGACUCACCAUGAAGCUCGUCAAGUUCAAUUCUAGCAACAUUACGCUCAUUUGUCAAAGUCUAUUUUACUGAUUAAGAUGGGGGCUACUUAGUACCAGGUUGCCCUCCUAUUCUCAGCCUCAUCAACUACACGUGUUCAUCUAACAAACAUCUCAAUGUGACCAAUAAGUGUUUCCUCUGCAGCCUACACCUGUCACCACUGCCAAUGAAUUAAUACAGUGAGCAUAUCUAUAUAAGGUGCGUUUGGACUUUGGAUCAUGUCUUAUCUUGAACUUAGGAUGGGUUAAACAUUAUUUUUUAUUAGCUAUGAUAUUUAAUUUAACAUUGUUUUAAAAACAUGAUUCUAAGUUUUAGACUUUUCAUUGAAUUUGAAGCUCUUAGAAAUAGCUUU
Long non-coding RNA from Glycine soja, 546 nucleotides. RefSeq lists it as uncharacterized. The transcript is spliced from 4 exons. The record is from RefSeq and is a predicted model, not a curated record. NCBI's taxonomy places the organism in Eukaryota, Viridiplantae, Streptophyta, Magnoliopsida, Fabales, Fabaceae.